RNAcentral lists this ribosomal RNA (465 nucleotides) under uncultured bacterium. RNAcentral's name for it is "partial 16S ribosomal RNA". It matches the Rfam family "Bacterial small subunit ribosomal RNA", at positions 28 to 507 of the family's 1533-position model. The record is from RNAcentral.
GACGAACGCUGGCGGCGUGCUUAACACAUGCCAGUCGAACGGAAAGGCCCUGCUUGCAGGGUACUCGAGUGGCGAACGGGUGAGUAACACGUGGGUGAUCUGCCCUGCACUUCGGGAUAAGCCUGGGAAACUGGGUCUAAUACCGGAUAGGAGCCAUUUUUAGUGUGAUGGUUGGAAAGUUUUUUCGGUGUAGGAUGAGCUCGCGGCCUAUCAGCUUGUUGGUGGGGUAAUGGCCUACCAAGGCGGCGACGGGUAGCCGGCCUGAGAGGGUGGACGGCCACCUUGGGACUGAGAGACGGCCCAGACUCCUACGGGAGGCAGCAGUGGGGAAGAUUGCACAAUGGGCGCCAGCCUGAUGCAGCGACGCCGCGUGGGGGAUGACGGCCUUCGGGUUGUAAACUCCUUUCGCUAGGGACGAAGCUUUUUGUGACGGUACCUAGAGAAGAAGCACCGGCUAACUACGUG